Molecule: long non-coding RNA, 1041 nt
Filed under: Chrysemys picta bellii (western painted turtle)
Lineage: Eukaryota; Metazoa; Chordata; Testudines; Emydidae
Description: lncRNA (ENSCPBG00000014958.1)
Source: RNAcentral
GGUGUUUGAGUGCAAAUGCUGGAGGCGUUAGAAGACCGAGCAAUUAGAACCCUUUGUACACAUGUGGGAGGAGAGAAUGAAUUGUCUGAGCUUCCCCAUCCUCCUCCCAACGUUAUGCAUGAGCCAGGUCAGUCAUCGCUGAUAGUGGAAGAUCCCAGUGUCAACAGCCAGAUUUGGAUUCAAGCUCUCCCACAGUACAGGAAAUAGGGUUACCACCUGGGCACCUCCUCUGAUAAUUCCAGACUUUAAAAAAAAACAAAGGGAAAAUGAGAUGGCACACUGAAGUCUUUCACUCUAGCAAAACUUACACAGAAGCCAAAGGGACUUUUUUGUUUGAGAAAAAACUUCAGGAUGGAGCCGAUAAGCAGAAGUGAAACAAGCUUUGUUCCUGUGGCUUAUAGUAUCAGCAGAAGUUCUGGCAAGAAAUAUUUCUCUCCUAUUCUUUCUUUCAUGCUAUUUGUUUGAGUACACUGCUUUCUCUUUCCCUCCCUCUCCACCAGAUGGCAAAGCUGCUCUAUAAUUGACAUCCUGAAACAUACUAGUUGUAUUCAUCACUUGCAGUCUUGGGCUACAUCUACACUACAGGGGGGAGUCGAUUUAAGAUACGCAAAUUCAGCUACGUGAAUAGCGUAGCUGAAUUCGACGUAUCACAGCCGACUUACCCCGCUGUGAGGACGGCGGCAAAAUCGACCUCUACGGCUUCCUGUCGACGGCGCUUACUCCCACCUCCGCUGGUGGAGUAAGAGCGUCGAUUCGGGGAUCGAUUGUCGCGUCCCAACGGGACGCGAUAAAUCGAUCCCCGAGAGGUCGAUUUCUACCCGCCGAUUCAGGCGGGUAGUGUAGACCUAGCCUUGAAAUCAAGAUACGCUUUAACCCAAACAGAAAUUAUGGUCUCAACGCAGAAAUUAUUGGGUGAGUUUCUUUGGCCUGUGUUAUGCAGGAGGUCAGACUAGAUUAUCAUAAUGGUCUCCUGUGGCCUUAAAAGUCUAUCAAUCUAUGAAAGCGAUGGUACAAUAAAUUGUUCUGGCAGCAGAUAGUACA